This 377-nucleotide ribosomal RNA is filed under the name uncultured eukaryote. Its description in RNAcentral is "partial 18S ribosomal RNA". It matches the Rfam family "Eukaryotic small subunit ribosomal RNA", at positions 592 to 976 of the family's 1831-position model. The record is from RNAcentral.
CAAUAGCGUAUAUUAAAGUUGUUGCAGUUAAAAAGCUCGUAGUUGGAUUUCGGGGCGGCCCGGCAGGUCCGCCGCGAGGCGAGCACUGGUCGGGCGCCCUUCCUCUCGAAGGCUUCGACUGCUCUUGAUUGCGGUGGUCGAGGAGUUCGGGACGUUUACUUUGAAAAAAUUAGAGUGUUCAAGGCAGGCCGUCGCCUGAAUACAUUAGCAUGGAAUAAUGGAAGAGGACCUCGGUCCUAUUUUGUUGGUUUCCAGGGCCGAAGUAAUGAUUAAGAGGGACAGUUGGGGGCAUUCGUAUUCAAUUGUCAGAGGUGAAAUUCUCGGAUUUAUGGAAGACGAACAAGUGCGAAAGCAUUUGCCAAGGAUGUUUUCAUUAA